Molecule: long non-coding RNA, 203 nt
Filed under: Phoenix dactylifera (date palm)
Lineage: Eukaryota; Viridiplantae; Streptophyta; Magnoliopsida; Arecales; Arecaceae
Description: long non-coding RNA (PDAC_LNC011190)
Source: RNAcentral
AUUGAUUCAUGAUUUGGACUAAACCAAAUAGGAGCCCUAGAUGCCUUUAUAAGGCUUUGAAAGGAGCUGCCCUAAUGAUAAGUGAAGCCCUCCUCCUCUCCAUCACGUGGCCACCCUCCUCUCCUCUCUUUUCAGCCGCCAACAACAAAGGGAAGAAAAGGAUCUUGGUGGCCUCCUUCUUCCUCCACCGUUUGGUUCCAACG